AUUGAACGCUGGCGGCAUGCCUUACACAUGCAAGUCGAACGGCAGCACGGGUGCUUGCACCUGGUGGCGAGUGGCGAACGGGUGAGUAAUACAUCGGAACAUGUCCUGGAGUGGGGGAUAGCCCGGCGAAAGCCGGAUUAAUACCGCAUACGAUCUACGGAUGAAAGCGGGGGACCUUCGGCCCUCGCGCUGUUGGGUUGGCCGAUGGCUGAUUAGCUAGUUGGUGGGGUAAAGGCCUACCAAGGCGACGAUCAGUAGCUGGUCUGAGAGGACGACCAGCCACACUGGGACUGAGACACGGCCCAGACUCCUACGGGAGGCAGCAGUGGGGAAUUUUGGACAAUGGGCGAAAGCCUGAUCCAGCAAUGCCGCGUGUGUGAAGAAGGCCUUCGGGUUGUAAAGCACUUUUGUCCGGAAAGAAAUCCUUGGCCCUAAUACGGUCGGGGGAUGACGGUACCGGAAGAAUAAGCACCGGCUAACUACGUG
RNAcentral lists this ribosomal RNA (486 nucleotides) under uncultured bacterium. RNAcentral's name for it is "partial 16S ribosomal RNA". It matches the Rfam family "Bacterial small subunit ribosomal RNA", at positions 30 to 507 of the family's 1533-position model. The record is from RNAcentral.